CAGCAGCCGCCGGUAAUACGUAGGGUGCAAGCGUUAAUCGGAAUUACUGGGCGUAAAGCGUGCGCAGGCGGUUAUAUAAGACAGAUGUGAAAUCCCCGGGCUCAACCUGGGAACUGCAUUUGUGACUGUAUAGCUAGAGUACGGCAGAGGGGGAUGGAAUUCCGCGUGUAGCAGUGAAAUGCGUAGAUAUGCGGAGGAACACCGAUGGCGAAGGCAAUCCCCUGGGCCUGUACUGACGCUCAUGCACGAAAGCGUGGGGAGCAAACAGGAUUAGAGACCCCUGUAGUCCCUGUCUCUUAUA
RNAcentral lists this ribosomal RNA (301 nucleotides) under uncultured bacterium. RNAcentral's name for it is "partial 16S ribosomal RNA". It matches the Rfam family "Bacterial small subunit ribosomal RNA", at positions 509 to 808 of the family's 1533-position model. The record is from RNAcentral.